CGACGGCCCCAGAGAGGAGGACGAGUCCAAGCUGGCGUCCGGCCUGCAGAUCCCUGGUUUGGCGAAUCCUGCUGAGAGUGAGCAGUAGGAGGAUUCUCGAAAGCUUCCAGCUUGCCACCUGGCAGAAGGUCACUUUCUUUUGAGCAGAGGAGAUAAUAGGAGGUACCCUGCCAGUGUUCACUGAGAGGCGGGGGUGGCAGGGGCCACAGUUGCUCUGGGAGGGUUGUGGUACCUGGGGCUGGGUGGCUCGCCCUAAGCUUGCUCUGACAAAAGAGUUUUGAGUUGGUCUUUUGACUGAGCCUGCCAAGGAAGGCAGGCCCCUGCAGGAGUCUUGGAGGGUCGGAUGCAGCGCCGGAUGAGGAUGAGGCGUGGCAGAAGAUGCGUUUGGCUCUGCAGACACUGCAUCGGGCAGCAGGGGACUCUGGGAGGCUGGUGCAGCCAGAAGGCAUGGCUCUUGACAGCCUUCUAGUAGAAUCUCUGGAAUUGUGCAUGGCAGAAGAGGAAAGAAACUAACGGGUAUUGAGCACCUACUGUGUGCCAGGCCCAGGCCAGG
This 553-nucleotide long non-coding RNA is filed under the name Marmota marmota marmota (Alpine marmot). Its description in RNAcentral is "lncRNA (ENSMMMG00000005627.1)". The record is from RNAcentral. Lineage: Eukaryota; Metazoa; Chordata; Mammalia; Rodentia; Sciuridae.